AAAGGCGCAAUGAAAGUGAAGGUCCGCCUUGCGCGGACCGAGGGAGGAUGGGUGGUCCCGAGGGGCCGCCUCGCACUCCCGGGGCGUCUCGUUCUCAUCGCGAGAAGAGGCGCACCCAGAGCGUACACGCUGGGACCCGAAAGAUGGUGAACUAUGCCUGGUCAGGACGAAGUCAGGGGAAACCCUGAUGGAGGUCCGUAGCGAUUCUGACGUGCAAAUCGAUCGUCGGAACUGGGUAUAGGGGCGAAAGACUAAUCGAACCAUCUAGUAGCUGGUUCCCUCCGAAGUUUCCCUCAGGAUAGCUGGCGCUCGCUUCUCGCGAGUCUCAUUCGGUAAAGCGAAUGAUUAGAGGCAUUGGGGUCGAAACGGCCUCAACCUAUUCUCAAACUUUAAAUGGGUGAGAUCUCCGGCUUGCUUGAACUGUGAAGCCGCGAGAUAUCGGAUCAGAGUGCCAAGUGGGCCACUUUUGGUAAGCAGAACUGGCGCUGUGGGAUGAACCAAACGCUGAGUUAAAGCGCCUAAAUCGACGCUUAUGGGA
Molecule: ribosomal RNA, 538 nt
Filed under: Holotrichia sp. c.s.syu201334
Lineage: Eukaryota; Metazoa; Arthropoda; Insecta; Coleoptera; Scarabaeidae
Description: eukaryotic LSU rRNA
Rfam family: Eukaryotic large subunit ribosomal RNA
Source: RNAcentral